Molecule: ribosomal RNA, 422 nt
Filed under: uncultured bacterium
Lineage: Bacteria
Description: partial 16S ribosomal RNA
Rfam family: Bacterial small subunit ribosomal RNA
Source: RNAcentral
AAUAUUGGACAAUGGGGGCAACCCUGAUCCAGCCAUGCCGCGUGGGUGAAGAUGGUCUUCGGAUUGUAAAGCACUUUAAGUUGGGAGGAAGGGCUUUAGGCUAAUACCCUUAAGUUUUGACGUUACCAACAGAAUAGCCACCGGCAAGCUCUUUCCCAGCAGCCGCGGUAAUACAGAGGGUGCAAGAGUUAAUCGGAAUUACUGGGCGUAAAGCGAGAGUAGGUGGUUCCGUAAGAUGAGUGUGAAAUCCCCGGGCUUAACCUGGGAACUGCUUUCAUAACUGCUGAGCUAGAGUACGGUAGAGGGUAGUGGAAUUUCCUGUGUAGCGGUGAAAUGCGUAGAUAUAGGAAGGAACACCAGUGGCGAAGGCGACUACCUGGACUGAUACUGACACUGAGGUGCGAAAGCGUGGGGAGCAAACA